UGGUACUUGAGAUAACGUAAGGGAAAAAAAUGAUAUUACCUUACUAUAAGUGUUGUCCAAAUCACUGGUGCCAGAAGACUCGGUAACGCCAGAAACGCAAACGUUAGUCGUCCUAAUCAGGCGUAAAGGGUAAGUAGGCAGCUUUGAAAGUUAUUAAUUAUUAUGCUUUUGUCUUAAUUGAUAAAUAAUUUAAUAGUGAAUUAAAGCUAGAAUCAAAAAGAGGAUAAGCCAAAUAAUGUUUAGAGUAGGGAUGAAAUCUGCAGAUACUAAAUAGAAUACUUAAGGUGUAAACUUUUAUCCAAUAAUGAUUGACGCUGAGGAACGAAGGUGAGAAUAGAAAAUAGGAUUAGAGACCCAGAUAUCUCUCACUGUCAACGAUGAGUGGUAGUUGUUAGUCUUAUUAAAGGCUAGUAACGAUGUUAACGCGAUAACCACUCCGCCUUGCGAGUACG
This 452-nucleotide ribosomal RNA is filed under the name Leucocoprinus sp. 'DUKE-JJ91'. RNAcentral describes it as "SSU rRNA". It matches the Rfam family "Bacterial small subunit ribosomal RNA", at positions 404 to 884 of the family's 1533-position model. Lineage: Eukaryota; Fungi; Basidiomycota; Agaricomycetes; Agaricales; Agaricaceae. The record is from RNAcentral.